AAUGAAAGUCAACGCAACGGAAAGUGUUUUUGUUUUGAUUGGUGACUUGCCACUUGGAAAGCACAAAGAAAGGUAAAAAUAAAUUUAUCAUUCACAUUUUUUAAAAUGGAUUUUUAAAGCAGAAAGAUGUAAGCAUUAAAUUCUCUCUGUGUCGACCAUGUACCGCCACACCGUGCACAUCGUCCAUAGUCCAUACUCUGUAAAUAAUUUAAGACAUCUUCCAUACUUCAUGUACUUCAACUUUCAGUUCCAUUGAGCAUGAUGAGUUUAUAUCAUAAAACAUAAUAAUACAACACUAUCCGACAUAUGAAUGGUAUCUGGGAAAAAAGGGGGGGGGAUACUUCCUAUAUUACUUUUAUAUUACAAAUAUGCCAAAAAUUAGGGUUGCUGUUUCAUGCCCUGCUGGGAAUCUGGGUCCGUCCGCCCUGAUUCCGGUUCGCCCUAGUUUCUGUUCGCCCUAAUACCUGUUCGCCCAGAGUCCGUUCGCCCUGAUUUCAAUUUUUAGUAAAUAGUGUUGCGUUGUGUGUACAUGUAUAUAAUACACCUUAUCGCUAUUUGUCCGCCAUUACUGGAUAUCACACAGGUUCCCGUAAAAUUUUGACGUCACAAUACAAAAUAUCUGACGCCACAAUGGAAGUGAUUGUUGUAUGCGUCAAAAGUUCAAGCGGCAGGGUCAGCCGGGAUUAGCGAUAAGGUGUAUUGAAUGUGUUGAAGUCAGUCUACAAUUUGGCCGAAUAUUUGCGAUUUAUCAUGUUGUUUAUAGCUAGCUGCUACUAGGACUAGGUUAUAAGUUUCUGUACAUUCACUAUCAAAUUGAAUUACUCUUAGUAAAACAAAUACCAAAAACACAGUCACACAGUGACACUGCUGUACAUUGAUCACUUGUCAUCGGUGUUUUUAUCUAUCCAAGCUGACUUUUUUUUUUGAGAAAAAUGUUAUUUUCAUUAUAAUUAAUCCAUCAAAGAAAAUUCAUAUAACAAUCAGAGAUAUCAAAGAUUUCAAAUGAUACCUUAUCAGCAAUCAAAACUCAAUCAAUAGUAAUAAAAAGUAAUUAUAAAAUAAAGUGUAACAAUGCAGCCAAAAAUUUUAUUUAAUUAAUAUAAAUUUGCCAAAUAUUCUGUAUUUAACUUUUAAUAGAUAUACAUGAACAUAAAUUGAAAUAUAUAUUUAUAUAUUUCGUUUAUUAAUGUAACAUAUACAUAUCAUAAAUGAAUAUAGGGCGAACAAACCCAGGGCGAAUGGACGAAUCUAGGGCGAACAUGUAAUCAGGGCGAACGAUCCCGAUACCCCCUGCUGGUUAGAAUAGGGUACCGGUCCCUUAUUUAUGACCUUCUUGUGAGAACAGGGUAUUUUGUAAACAAAGUAUUUGUGUUUUAGGGGGGUUGGAGGGGUCCUGAUUGCAAAAUCUGGGGCAUAAAAACAUGAAAUCCAGAGGGGUGGGUCUUUUCGUUACCCAAAACACCACCAAACACCCUGAAAACCAUUGACCACCUUUUGUCAAUCAUACAUGCACAGAGUUUGGGAUACACAGUCACUGUUUGAUUUUAUAUGAUUUUAGUUUAUGUAAAAACUUGAUCAUUCCAAGUAAAUAAGUAAUAGGUCAUCUGUUUUGUGUGUAGUGAAUGCCAAGUUUCACAUAACCUUUAUCUCAUUUUCACAGCUGGUUAAAUUGGUCAACAGUGGCAGAUCCAGAAAUGUUAAUAAAAGUGGGGGGUUGCACUGACUGCCAAACUGGGGCCUCUCCAGUCAUGCGUGAUGAUGCUUCAAUAAUUCCUUUAAAGGUAAUUUAAAUAAAAAAAUAAGAUUACAUGUGUCUUACGCUGUUACGGACCACUCUAAAGUGGGUAUUCUUUUCUGAAAUGUUUUCUAAUUUUAAUACCCAUAUACAUGUACUAUCUGCUUGUUUGAAACAUGAAUUAAAACUCACUCAUAAUUUUAUAUAAGACAUACCAAUCAAUAUCCAGUACCAAAUUGAAAAGAAAUAUCACUAAAUGCAUGAAGCCAGACACAAAAGAUUGUUUAACAGUGUACAAAAUAAAUACAAGUCACUUUAUAAACAUGAUAAAAAAGGGGGAUGCUGUUAUUAUACUAUUUUUUUUCAUGUCAUUUUCAUUGUGAAAAGGCAGAUAAUUAAUCAUGUGGUUGUAAUUCUAUAGAAAUUAAAAAAAUUGGGCAUUAGAUGGUUUGAUAGACAUUUAAUGUAUAGAUAUUCCCCAUUUCCAUUCUCAAUUUUAUUAUCUACAUAGGUGUAUUAAAGUCAGAACUGACACGAAUACAGCACAAAAUUGUGAUACAUACAUGUAUAUACUUGCUGUUCGGUGUGAGCCAAGGCUCUAUGUUAAAGGCCGUACCUUGACCUAUAAUUUACAUUUAUAAAUUGUUAUUUUGAUGGAGAGUUGUCUCAUUGGCACUCAUACCACAUCUUCAUAUACACAUGUAACUUAAAAUUUCAAAUUCCUUAAUCAUGUUAAUACAUGUAAAUGUAUUAUGUUUAUUGCCCAAAGAUUGACAUUAAUUGACAAAAUCAGAGAUGCAAUAUAACCAGUUCAUUCAUUAAAAUGUUGUAUUGAUCAUAUUGAUUUGAAAUGAUGCAGAAGAACAUUAAAAUAAUUGAUGAAAUGCUUUUUAUAAAGUCAUAUUUUUUAGGGCAAAUCUGUUAGUCUUAUUUUGAAAUGUCAAAGUGAGGCAAUUUUGCCAGUUACAUGUAUCAUAACUUCCUUUUAUCAUGUUUAUGCAUUUAAACAUUUUUCUUUUAGCAUUUUUAAAGAAAGUACAAGCACUUAAAGAAGUAGGGGAAAAUAAUCAACAAAACAGAAGUCAUUAGAGGCGAUGAUUUCUAUAUUUAUACAUGUAUCUAGACUAGUAGUGGAUUUGAAAAGUGCUGUAUUGAUUCAUGUGCAAAUAAGGAGCAGCAGCCAACAUGGCCAAUGAAACAUUGCAAAUGUAUGAUUAAGGUAUGUCAUGAAAGUUAUGUUUAAGUU
This 2981-nucleotide long non-coding RNA is filed under the name Mytilus galloprovincialis (Mediterranean mussel). The record is from RNAcentral. Lineage: Eukaryota; Metazoa; Mollusca; Bivalvia; Mytilida; Mytilidae.